GACGAACGCUGGCGGCGUGCUUAACACAUGCAAGUCGAACGGUGAAGCUCCAGCUUGCUGGAGUGGAUCAGUGGCGAACGGGUGAGUAACACGUGAGCAACCUGCCCCUGACUCUGGAAUAAGCGCUGGAAACGGCGUCUAAUACUGGAUACGAGAAGGGUCCGCAUGGGCACUUUCUGGAAAGUUUUUGGGUUGGGGAUGGGCUCGCGGCCUAUCAGCUUGUUGGUGGGGUAGUGGCCCACCAAGGCGACGACGGGUAGGCAGCCUGAGAGGGGGAACGGGGAAAUUGGGACCGAGAGACGGCGAAGAGCCCGAGGGGAGGGAGCAGGGGGGAAUGGUGCACAAGGGGCGCAAGGCUGAUGCAGCGAGGCCGCGGGGGGGAGGACGGGCUUCGGGUUGGAAACUCCUUUCGCCAAGGAAGAAGCGUUUUGUGACGGUACUUGGAGAAGAAGCACCGGCUAACUACGUG
Molecule: ribosomal RNA, 469 nt
Filed under: uncultured bacterium
Lineage: Bacteria
Description: partial 16S ribosomal RNA
Rfam family: Bacterial small subunit ribosomal RNA
Source: RNAcentral